AACGAACGCUGGCGGCAUGCCUAACACAUGCAAGUCGAACGAGACCUUCGGGUCUAGUGGCGCACGGGUGCGUAACGCGUGGGAACCUGCCCUUAGGUUCGGAAUAACUCCUCGAAAGGGGUGCUAAUACCGGAUGAUGUCGAAAGACCAAAGAUUUAUCGCCUUUGGAUGGGCCCGCGUAGGAUUAGGUAGUUGGUGGGGUAAAGGCCUACCAAGCCGACGAUCCUUAGCUGGUCUGAGAGGAUGAUCAGCCACACUGGGACUGAGACACGGCCCAGACUCCUACGGGAGGCAGCAGUGGGGAAUAUUGGACAAUGGGCGAAAGCCUGAUCCAGCAAUGCCGCGUGAGUGAUGAAGGCCUUAGGGUUGUAAAGCUCUUUUACCAGGGAUGAUAAUGACAGUACCUGGAGAAUAAGCUCCGGCUAACUCCGUG
RNAcentral lists this ribosomal RNA (433 nucleotides) under uncultured bacterium. RNAcentral's name for it is "bacterial SSU rRNA". It matches the Rfam family "Bacterial small subunit ribosomal RNA", at positions 29 to 507 of the family's 1533-position model. The record is from RNAcentral.